GAUGAACGCUGGCGGCGUGCCUAAUACAUGCAAGUCGAGCGAACAGACAAGGAGCUUGCUCCUUUGACGUUAGCGGCGGACGGGUGAGUAACACGUGGGUAACCUACCUAUAAGACUGGGAUAACUUCGGGAAACCGGAGCUAAUACCGGAUAAUAUUUCGAACCGCAUGGUUCGAUAGUGAAAGAUGGUUUUGCUAUCACUUAUAGAUGGACCCGCGCCGUAUUAGCUAGUUGGUAAGGUAACGGCUUACCAAGGCGACGAUACGUAGCCGACCUGAGAGGGUGAUCGGCCACACUGGAACUGAGACACGGUCCAGACUCCUACGGGAGGCAGCAGUAGGGAAUCUUCCGCAAUGGGCGAAAGCCUGACGGAGCAACGCCGCGUGAGUGAUGAAGGUCUUCGGAUCGUAAAACUCUGUUAUUAGGGAAGAACAUACAUGUAAGUAACUAUGCACGUCUUGACGGUACCUAAUCAGAAAGCCACGGCUAACUACGUGCCAGCAGCCGCGGUAAUACGUAGGUGGCAAGCGUUAUCCGGAAUUAUUGGGCGUAAAGCGCGCGUAGGCGGUUUUUUAAGUCUGAUGUGAAAGCCCACGGCUCAACCGUGGAGGGUCAUUGGAAACUGGAAAACUUGAGUGCAGAAGAGGAAAGUGGAAUUCCAUGUGUAGCGGUGAAAUGCGCAGAGAUAUGGAGGAACACCAGUGGCGAAGGCGACUUUCUGGUCUGUAACUGACGCUGAUGUGCGAAAGCGUGGGGAUCAAACAGGAUUAGAUACCCUGGUAGUCCACGCCGUAAACGAUGAGUGCUAAGUGUUAGGGGGUUUCCGCCCCUUAGUGCUGCAGCUAACGCAUUAAGCACUCCGCCUGGGGAGUACGACCGCAAGGUUGAAACUCAAAGGAAUUGACGGGGACCCGCACAAGCGGUGGAGUAUGUGGUUUAAUUCGAAGCAACGCGAAGAACCUUACCAAAUCUUGACAUCCUUUGACAACUCUAGAGAUAGAGCCUUCCCCUUCGGGGGACAAAGUGACAGGUGGUGCAUGGUUGUCGUCAGCUCGUGUCGUGAGAUGUUGGGUUAAGUCCCGCAACGAGCGCAACCCUUAAGCUUAGUUGCCAUCAUUAAGUUGGGCACUCUAAGUUGACUGCCGGUGACAAACCGGAGGAAGGUGGGGAUGACGUCAAAUCAUCAUGCCCCUUAUGAUUUGGGCUACACACGUGCUACAAUGGACAAUACAAAGGGCAGCGAAACCGCGAGGUCAAGCAAAUCCCAUAAAGUUGUUCUCAGUUCGGAUUGUAGUCUGCAACUCGACUACAUGAAGCUGGAAUCGCUAGUAAUCGUAGAUCAGCAUGCUACGGUGAAUACGUUCCCGGGUCU
RNAcentral lists this ribosomal RNA (1372 nucleotides) under uncultured bacterium. RNAcentral describes it as "bacterial SSU rRNA". It matches the Rfam family "Bacterial small subunit ribosomal RNA", at positions 28 to 1381 of the family's 1533-position model. The record is from RNAcentral.